This 974-nucleotide ribosomal RNA is filed under the name Ralstonia pickettii. Its description in RNAcentral is "bacterial SSU rRNA". It matches the Rfam family "Bacterial small subunit ribosomal RNA", at positions 75 to 1040 of the family's 1533-position model. The record is from RNAcentral. Lineage: Bacteria; Pseudomonadati; Pseudomonadota; Betaproteobacteria; Burkholderiales; Burkholderiaceae.
AAAGCUUGCUUUCCUGCCGGCGAGUGGCGAACGGGUGAGUAAUACAUCGGAACGUGCCCUGUAGUGGGGGAUAACUAGUCGAAAGAUUAGCUAAUACCGCAUACGACCUGAGGGUGAAAGUGGGGGACCGCAAGGCCUCAUGCUAUAGGAGCGGCCGAUGUCUGAUUAGCUAGUUGGUGGGGUAAAGGCCCACCAAGGCGACGAUCAGUAGCUGGUCUGAGAGGACGAUCAGCCACACUGGGACUGAGACACGGCCCAGACUCCUACGGGAGGCAGCAGUGGGGAAUUUUGGACAAUGGGCGAAAGCCUGAUCCAGCAAUGCCGCGUGUGUGAAGAAGGCCUUCGGGUUGUAAAGCACUUUUGUCCGGAAAGAAAUGGCUCUGGUUAAUACCUGGGGUCGAUGACGGUACCGGAAGAAUAAGGACCGGCUAACUACGUGCCAGCAGCCGCGGUAAUACGUAGGGUCCAAGCGUUAAUCGGAAUUACUGGGCGUAAAGCGUGCGCAGGCGGUUGUGCAAGACCGAUGUGAAAUCCCCGAGCUUAACUUGGGAAUUGCAUUGGUGACUGCACGGCUAGAGUGUGUCAGAGGGGGGUAGAAUUCCACGUGUAGCAGUGAAAUGCGUAGAGAUGUGGAGGAAUACCGAUGGCGAAGGCAGCCCCCUGGGAUAACACUGACGCUCAUGCACGAAAGCGUGGGGAGCAAACAGGAUUAGAUACCCUGGUAGUCCACGCCCUAAACGAUGUCAACUAGUUGUUGGGGAUUCAUUUCCUUAGUAACGUAGCUAACGCGUGAAGUUGACCGCCUGGGGAGUACGGUCGCAAGAUUAAAACUCAAAGGAAUUGACGGGGACCCGCACAAGCGGUGGAUGAUGUGGAUUAAUUCGAUGCAACGCGAAAAACCUUACCUACCCUUGACAUGCCACUAACGAAGCAGAGAUGCAUUAGGUGCUCGAAAGAGAAAGUGGACACAGGUG